GACGAACGCUGGCGGCGUGCUUAACACAUGCAAGUCGAACGGAAAGGCCCUGCUUGCAGGGUACUCGAGUGGAGAACGGGUGAGUAACACGUGGGUGAUCUGCCCUGCACUUCGGGAUAAGCCUGGGAAACUGGGUCUAAUACCGGAUAGGAGCCAUUUUUAGUGUGAUGGUUGGAAAGUUUUUUCGGUGUAGGAUGAGCUCGCGGCCUAUCAGCGUGUUGGUGGGGUAAUGGCCUACCAAGGCGGCGACGGGUAGCCGGCCUGCGAGGGUGGACGGCCACAUUGGGACUGAGAUGCGGCCCAGACUCCUACGGGUGGCAGCAGUGGGGAAUAUUGCUCAAUGGGCGCCAGCCUGAUGCAGCGACGCCGCGUGUGGGAUGACGGCCUUCGGGUUGUAAACUCCUUUCGCUAGGGACGAAGCUUUUUGUGACGGUACCUAGAUAAGAAGCACCGGCUAACUACGUG
This 465-nucleotide ribosomal RNA is filed under the name uncultured bacterium. RNAcentral's name for it is "partial 16S ribosomal RNA". It matches the Rfam family "Bacterial small subunit ribosomal RNA", at positions 28 to 507 of the family's 1533-position model. The record is from RNAcentral.